Molecule: ribosomal RNA, 380 nt
Filed under: Salmonella enterica subsp. enterica serovar Infantis
Lineage: Bacteria; Pseudomonadati; Pseudomonadota; Gammaproteobacteria; Enterobacterales; Enterobacteriaceae
Also listed under: 3 other names
Description: bacterial SSU rRNA
Rfam family: Bacterial small subunit ribosomal RNA
Source: RNAcentral
AAAUUGAAGAGUUUGAUCAUGGCUCAGAUUGAACGCUGGCGGCAGGCCUAACACAUGCAAGUCGAACGGUAACAGGAAGCAGCUUGCUGCUUCGCUGACGAGUGGCGGACGGGUGAGUAAUGUCUGGGAAACUGCCUGAUGGAGGGGGAUAACUACUGGAAACGGUGGCUAAUACCGCAUAACGUCGCAAGACCAAAGAGGGGGACCUUCGGGCCUCUUGCCAUCAGAUGUGCCCAGAUGGGAUUAGCUUGUUGGUGAGGUAACGGCUCACCAAGGCGACGAUCCCUAGCUGGUCUGAGAGGAUGACCAGCCACACUGGAACUGAGACACGGUCCAGACUCCUACGGGAGGCAGCAGUGGGGAAUAUUGCACAAUGGGCG